Molecule: non-coding RNA, 863 nt
Organism: Peromyscus maniculatus bairdii (prairie deer mouse)
Lineage: Eukaryota; Metazoa; Chordata; Mammalia; Rodentia; Cricetidae
Source: RefSeq, a predicted model, not a curated record
CCCGACGCAGGUUCCGGUUCCGUUGGCGGCGGCUGAUUGCUACGGUAACGCGGCGGGUAGUCUUGCUCUAGCGAGGACCAGAGAAUUAAGUGGUGGGUGAGCAGCUGAGGACUCGGUGGCGUGUUACCUGAUCUGUAGUCUUGGACCUGCACUGGGUUGGUGGUACCCGAGAGCACACCAGACUUGCAGAAAAAGCAUACUCCAGAGGAAGCUGAGGCAUGCCUGCUCAAGAGCCAGCGGAUCCAUGUGCAAUGUUCCUCUGAUAGGCCCUGGGUACUGUUGCCACGGUGAUGAUGGCUCUGCCGUGCCAUUGUCGAUCCACCAACAGUCAGAGAAGCUUUGCAGUCAAGAUAUUGUUUAGCAGACGGAGUGGUUUCUGUUGGACACUUAAGGACUGCUACACAACUUCAAGUUACUAAGCAUGUUGCCGGAGGCUACCUGUUUUCGUCUGGGGAGUAAUGUGAAAGCAGAAAGUGCACACAAGUCAUCAAUGGAGUCUGCGAAAUCAUGGCUCAGCGGGAAACUGAGCCAAGUAAACUGUGAAGACAGAUGGAUGGGGACAGUGCCCAGCCUCUUCCUUGUCAGUCAGUGUUGUGGACGCUUGCUCUUUUUUCUAAUGACAAGCCUGAAGUGAAAAUCUUUUUAUUUUGCAGACCCUUUGAUCCCAGACACCAUACAAAGACACACACAAGAAAUACUGGAAUGGAACCGCUGCUCUGAAAGUCAGUCUGUACCCUCAGCAGCAGAGAGUCUGUUGAAUUGCCUCCAGAAACGGCAAGCUUUUUUAUUCAUGCUAGCAUUGCCAAAUGUAAUUUUCCUUUUAAAAAUAAAAUAAAUAAAGACUGGCAAUUUGCUUGUGGGAA